GGCCCGUUAGCUCAGUUGGCUAGAGCACUCCCUUGACACGGUAGGGGUCACUGGUUAGAGUCCAGUACGGUCCACCA
Molecule: transfer RNA, 77 nt
Filed under: Planctomycetota bacterium
Lineage: Bacteria; Pseudomonadati; Planctomycetota
Description: Planctomycetes bacterium (activated sludge metagenome) tRNA-Val
Rfam family: tRNA
About the family: Transfer RNA (tRNA) molecules are approximately 80 nucleotides in length. Their secondary structure includes four short double-helical elements and three loops (D, anti-codon, and T loops). Further hydrogen bonds mediate the characteristic L-shaped molecular structure. tRNAs have two regions of fundamental functional importance: the anti-codon, which is responsible for specific mRNA codon recognition, and the 3' end, to which the tRNAs corresponding amino acid is attached (by aminoacyl-tRNA synthetases). tRNAs cope with the degeneracy of the genetic code in two manners: having more than one tRNA (with a specific anti-codon) for a particular amino acid; and 'wobble' base-pairing, i.e. permitting non-standard base-pairing at the 3rd anti-codon position.
Source: RNAcentral